This 390-nucleotide ribosomal RNA is filed under the name Microbacterium sp. 1fb. Its description in RNAcentral is "bacterial SSU rRNA". It matches the Rfam family "Bacterial small subunit ribosomal RNA", at positions 77 to 481 of the family's 1533-position model. Lineage: Bacteria; Bacillati; Actinomycetota; Actinomycetes; Micrococcales; Microbacteriaceae. The record is from RNAcentral.
AGCUUGCUUGGUGGAUCAGUGGCGAACGGGUGAGUAACACGUGAGCAACCUGCCCUGGACUCUGGGAUAAGCGCUGGAAACGGCGUCUAAUACUGGAUAUGAGACGUGAUCGCAUGGUCGUGUUUGGAAAGAUUUUUCGGUCUGGGAUGGGCUCGCGGCCUAUCAGCUUGUUGGUGAGGUAAUGGCUCACCAAGGCGUCGACGGGUAGCCGGCCUGAGAGGGUGACCGGCCACACUGGGACUGAGACACGGCCCAGACUCCUACGGGAGGCAGCAGUGGGGAAUAUUGCACAAUGGGCGAAAGCCUGAUGCAGCAACGCCGCGUGAGGGAUGACGGCCUUCGGGUUGUAAACCUCUUUUAGCAGGGAAGAAGCGAAAGUGACGGUACCUG